AACACAAAAUCCAGAACUUGUAUAUUAACUAAACUUGGAAUCAAAUACAAAAGAUAAAGAAUUUGGAAGAAAUACAACCCUUGUCACAUGAGCUUUCUUCCUUGCCUUCUUCAUCCUUCAUCUUCAUCCUAAUCUAGAUAAUAAACAAGAAUGGAAAAGCUACACUACUCUAUACUAAGCUAAACUAACACUAGGGAGAUGAAAGAGCUACAUUUCUGCAGU
This 222-nucleotide long non-coding RNA is filed under the name Coffea arabica (coffee). RNAcentral describes it as "long non-coding RNA (CARA_LNC004595)". The record is from RNAcentral. Lineage: Eukaryota; Viridiplantae; Streptophyta; Magnoliopsida; Gentianales; Rubiaceae.